RNAcentral lists this ribosomal RNA (492 nucleotides) under uncultured bacterium. Its description in RNAcentral is "partial 16S ribosomal RNA". It matches the Rfam family "Bacterial small subunit ribosomal RNA", at positions 29 to 507 of the family's 1533-position model. The record is from RNAcentral.
AGUGAACGCUGGCGGUAGGCCUAACACAUGCAAGUCGAACGGCAGCACAGUAAGAGCUUGCUCUUACGGGUGGCGAGUGGCGGACGGGUGAGGAAUACAUCGGAAUCUACUUUUUCGUGGGGGAUCACGUAGGGAAACUUACGCUAAUACCGCAUACGACCUACGGGUUAAAGCAGGGGAUCUUCGGACCUUGCGCGAUUGAAUGAGCCGAUGUCGGAUUAGCUAGUUGGCGGGGUAAAGGCCCACCAAGGCGACGAUCCGUAGCUGGUCUGAGAGGAUGAUCAGCCACACUGGAACUGAGACACGGUCCAGACUCCUACGGGAGGCAGCAGUGGGGAAUAUUGGACAAUGGGCGCAAGCCUGAUCCAGCCAUACCGCGUGAGUGAAGAAGGCCUUCGGGUUGUAAAGCCCUUUUGUUGGGAAAGAAAAGCAGCAGGUUAAUACCCCGCUGUUCUGACGGUACCCAAAGAAUAAGCACCGGCUAACUUCGUG